CCUACGGGGGGCAGCAGUGGGGAAUAUUGCGCAAUGGAGGGAACUCUGACGCAGCAACGCCGCGUGAAGGAUGAAGGUUUUCGGAUUGUAAACUUCUUUGAUCGGGGACGAAAAUGACGGUACCCGAGGAACAAGCCACGGCUAACUACGUGCCAGCAGCCGCGGUAAUACGUAGGUGGCAAGCGUUGUCCGGAAUUACUGGGUGUAAAGGGCGCGUAGGCGGGAGAGCAAGUCAGAUGUGAAAUCCCAGGGCUUAACUCUGGAGCUGCAUCUGAAACUGUUUUUCUUGAGUACUGGAGAGGAAAGUGGAAUUCCUAGUGUAGCGGUGAAAUGCGUAGAGAUUAGGAGGAACACCAGUGGCGAAGGCGGCUUUCUGGACAGUAACUGACGCUGAGGCGCGAAAGCGUGGGGAGCAAACAGGAUUAGAUACCCUUGUAGUC
This 440-nucleotide ribosomal RNA is filed under the name uncultured Clostridium sp. RNAcentral describes it as "bacterial SSU rRNA". It matches the Rfam family "Bacterial small subunit ribosomal RNA", at positions 338 to 795 of the family's 1533-position model. The record is from RNAcentral. Lineage: Bacteria; Bacillati; Bacillota; Clostridia; Eubacteriales; Clostridiaceae.